AAUAACAGCCAUACCACCCUGAACGUGCCCGAUCUCGUCUGAUCUCGGAAGCUCAGCAGGGUCGGGCCUGGUUAGUACUUGGAUGGGAGAAAAAUUGUUUAGAGAGGAAAAGAACUCAUGAGUCUUGUUC
This 130-nucleotide ribosomal RNA is filed under the name Neogale vison (American mink). The record is from RNAcentral. Lineage: Eukaryota; Metazoa; Chordata; Mammalia; Carnivora; Mustelidae.